UUGCAACAGUUGGAUAGAUGGGUUAUCAUCUACCAUGUGGAUUGUGCAUAUGUCAAGUUUCAAAGCGAAAGUCUUAUGGCCUACCAUGUAUUAAACCUUUUCUCAGCCAUCCGAAUCUUGGUUAAUUAGACCUGUUGAUUGUGCCAUGUGCCUAGGUGGUGUAGUACUUUCCGGAUGAAACUCAACUUGUGACUCUAGAAUGAUGUGAACUUCUCCAUAAAAUUUGAGCAUCAAGUAAACAGCCAAAUUGAGGAUAAAAGCAUCUGGAGGGUUGACCUCUCUGGACAUGCUCUUCUAGAGAAACCAUGUCCUUUCAAAUAUAUAUAUUUAUUUGGGCUUGGAAACUGUUUUAGUAGUAGGGUAGUUUAUAAUCAAAAUCAUGAACUUUCUGAAAGUUUGAUAUUAUUGUACCUUCUGGUACUGUAUCAGAGUUGUGAUAAGAAUGUGAUGCUAAUCAUCUAUGCCAAAGUUAUGCUCUAAUACAUGUAGAAAGCAUUGAUUAUAUGAUAAGGUCAGGACAGAGGGUGGGCCCAGACAUGCAUUUCCCUGAAAAGUGUUUUUUCUAAUGAAAAAUCUUUG
Molecule: long non-coding RNA, 579 nt
Organism: Telopea speciosissima
Lineage: Eukaryota; Viridiplantae; Streptophyta; Magnoliopsida; Proteales; Proteaceae
Exons: 2
Source: RefSeq, a predicted model, not a curated record